RNAcentral lists this ribosomal RNA (498 nucleotides) under uncultured bacterium. Its description in RNAcentral is "partial 16S ribosomal RNA". It matches the Rfam family "Bacterial small subunit ribosomal RNA", at positions 28 to 507 of the family's 1533-position model. The record is from RNAcentral.
GACGAACGCUGGCGGCGUGCCUAAUACAUGCAAGUCGAACGAGAGCGACCGGUGCUUGCACUGGUCAAUCUAGUGGCGAACGGGUGAGUAACACGUGGGUAACCUGCCCAUCAGAGGGGGAUAACAUCCGGAAACGGAUGCUAAAACCGCAUAGGUCUUCGAACCGCAUGGUUUGAAGAGGAAAAGAGGCGCAAGCUUCUGCUGAUGGAUGGACCCGCGGUGCAAUAGCUAGUUGGUGAGGUAACGGCUCACCAAGGCCGUGAUGCAUAGCCGACCUGAGAGGGUGAUCGGCCACAUUGGGACUGAGACACGGCCCAAACUCCUACGGGAGGCAGCAGUAGGGAAUCUUCCGCAAUGGACGCAAGUCUGACGGAGCAACGCCGCGUGAGUGAAGAAGGUUUUCGGAUCGUAAAACUCUGUUGUUAGAGAAGAACAAGUGCUAGAGUAACUGUUAGCGCCUUGACGGUAUCUAACCAGAAAGCCACGGCUAACUACGUG